RNAcentral lists this transfer RNA (76 nucleotides) under Pseudomonadota bacterium. RNAcentral describes it as "Proteobacteria bacterium (sponge metagenome) tRNA-Asn". It matches the Rfam family "tRNA". From Rfam's summary of the family: Transfer RNA (tRNA) molecules are approximately 80 nucleotides in length. Their secondary structure includes four short double-helical elements and three loops (D, anti-codon, and T loops). Lineage: Bacteria; Pseudomonadati; Pseudomonadota. The record is from RNAcentral.
UCCUCGGUAGCUCAGUUGGUAGAGCGGGUGGCUGUUAACCACUAGGUCGCAGGUUCGAGUCCUGCCCGGGGAGCCA